GUUGGAUUUGACUUGUGUUAAUUGAAUUCAUCACUGAGCUGGUUUGCUGUAGCGUACUGAUUUUUUUUGCACAAUUUGAUUUAGCGGAAAUGAAAAAUAAUACAUAUUUUGUCAAUGCAGUUUUUAACUUUUUUUUUAACUGGAAAGAGUAUUUUUCCUCCUCUUAUAGCCAAGUAAACCCAGAAACCACCAAUUAUUGGUUUAUGGCUAUGUCCGUCGUCAAUUUGUCCGUGCCCAUAAGUUGUCCGAUGGACUGGACUACAUCGUAUAUUGACGAACGCGAUUACGGUAACCAGUCAAAAGCAGAGACCACGGACUAAAGAUCCCUAUACAUGACCUGAUAUGAUAUCUGAUCUGACCAAAUUAUGCUGUUGGUCCGACCAGAUCAUGUAGUGUGUGGGGGCCUUAAGAUAUAAUGGACAUGAUAUAAUGGAGCAGUUUAUCAAUAGCACCAAUUUAGAAUACAAGAGAAUAGAGGGGGUGGUGGUUCGAAAUGUAGGCUGACAGUUUACAAUAUCGUCUGUUGACUAAAUAUUUGCAACUUUUAAAUAAUAAAGUGAUAGCAAGUACCAACUACCGAUAUAAUAAUGAUUAAUGAUAUUUA
This is a non-coding RNA of Cinara cedri, 604 nucleotides long. Lineage: Eukaryota; Metazoa; Arthropoda; Insecta; Hemiptera; Aphididae. The record is from the annotation of a GenBank genome assembly.